This 1629-nucleotide small RNA is filed under the name Oryza sativa Japonica Group (Japanese rice). RNAcentral's name for it is "sRNA Os11g0462600". The record is from RNAcentral. Lineage: Eukaryota; Viridiplantae; Streptophyta; Magnoliopsida; Poales; Poaceae.
CGUAGGCUUUUGAGUGGACCCUGUCCUAUGACAAACUUUUCCAGAUUAGGUGUAAUCAGUUUGAGGUAAUGCAAACAGCGAACAUUGCUUAGAGCAGCAAGAACAUCCCUGUUGAGCUUAUCAGAGGAUGAUAGACACAGCUCAGUAAGACCUUUCAGCAAGGUUACAAAUGGAGGUAAUAUGUUUAUUUUGCCUUUUAGCUUCAGAGAGCUUAAGUAGCAGGAAUCUUCCAGGGAAAACUUCAGCAUAUUCUCUUGGUCUUGGAAGCACCCCCCAAAAUUCAGAGAAAGCGAGCGGACAUCGUUCAUAUUGGUGCCCCUCUGGAUGAAAACUUGAAUGGCCUUUGAAAGGUGAAUAGUGUUGCUGCUAGAAUUGGAAGGGGUCUCGCUCUCGCACCAUAUUUUAACCUUGGCCAAGUUUUUCAUAUGAUCAAUGAGUUGAGGAAAUCCUUGGUCAUUAUUGGCAAAAAAUCCCGCUAGUGUCUCCAGCUUACUUUUCUCAGACAGAUACUUCUGUAGCUUGCUAAUUUUCUGGCCUACAUCUUGAAGUUUGAAAUUUCCAAAUAGAUGUGUCAAGCAUGGCAGCUUGAUGACUUGUAUGGGCAGAACUUUUAUCUUUGUUCUUCGUACAUCGAGUGUCUCCAAAAAUUUCAGUUUUGUGAUCUCCUUUGGGAGCAUUGUAACAGUGCCCCCAAGGCUUAAAUACCUGAGCAGCAACAGCUUGCAUAUCUUCCUGAGAUGUUCAUCUUUCAAAUUUUCACAUUCUUCAAGAUCCAAAACUCUCAGUAGUUCAUAACUGGAGAAUUCUAAAACAGAGUCUUCUGCCUCUCCGAAGAUUGUCAAAGACCGAACAUGAGAUAAAUCAAUGUCUGAGUUCAUUCUGCCCCUUCUGGUGCUGUUAUGUUGCACAGUAAGGCAACGUAUUUUGUCAGGCAGGCAAGCUUGAUCAUAUAGCAACGUAAUGAAGUCAUCGCACAUGGACUUAUGCAGGAUGAACUCAAGCAUCAUGCCGUGAGUUUGGCAUGUCUUCACCUCAGUGUUACUGCUCGUAGCAACAGGCUGAAUGAUGCUCCGGUUGAUCAGCUCGUUGAAGUAGUCUGUAGCAACAUCCAGAGAACUUCGGAGAGGGUCUGCCUCAACAAGCCCUUCAGCUGACCAUCGCCUUAUCAGUUUUCCUCUCCUGACCGGAUGGCCACUGGGGAAAAUACCAAAAUAGAGCAAGCAGGCCUUGAUAACAUGGCCAGGAAGGCUGGUAUAGUUGUGAACAAGUACAUGCUUCAUUCUUUCUAAAGUAUCCUCUCUUUCCAGAUGCAUACCCAGAUUGCCACACAACUUUGCAUAUUCUUGUGGUAGCUGUUGACCUUUACUUUUCAAGAAUUGGGCUGUUGAUACAAGGGCAAGUGGUAAACCAUCACAUUUAGUACUCAGCACUGUUUCUGAACCAGAGCUGCAGGCAUUUGCUAUGGAAUGGAUGGCCGUCGUCACCAGCACUAUGCUGCUUGAUCCUGUAUCUACAGGGAAAGCAUCUUUUAUAGUACUGUUCCAAUAUUCCCUCUGGAUGUCAUCAAUUACAAUGAAGAACCUAUAGAGAUGUAUUUAGAAAUAAGGUAAAUGGAUCAGUGCUUAGUAG